UCCCUGGUGGCUCAGCCAGUAAAGAAUCUGCCUACAGUGCAGGAGACCUGGGUUCAAUCCCUGGUUUGGGAA
RNAcentral lists this transfer RNA (72 nucleotides) under Bos taurus (domestic cattle). It matches the Rfam family "tRNA". From Rfam's summary of the family: Transfer RNA (tRNA) molecules are approximately 80 nucleotides in length. Their secondary structure includes four short double-helical elements and three loops (D, anti-codon, and T loops). Further hydrogen bonds mediate the characteristic L-shaped molecular structure. tRNAs have two regions of fundamental functional importance: the anti-codon, which is responsible for specific mRNA codon recognition, and the 3' end, to which the tRNAs corresponding amino acid is attached (by aminoacyl-tRNA synthetases). tRNAs cope with the degeneracy of the genetic code in two manners: having more than one tRNA (with a specific anti-codon) for a particular amino acid; and 'wobble' base-pairing, i.e. permitting non-standard base-pairing at the 3rd anti-codon position. RNAcentral also lists the same sequence under 1 other name. Lineage: Eukaryota; Metazoa; Chordata; Mammalia; Artiodactyla; Bovidae. The record is from Rfam by way of RNAcentral.